GGUGCUCUUAUCAGGCAGUGAGUUUUCCUCUACCAUAUUGCUGAAAUCAUUCUUCUGAAAUACAAUCCUUAUCAUGACAUCCUGGAAUUUAAAAUCCUGAAUUUUGAUCUUCCAUCCAUUGCAUGGAUCGCCAAAUGAUGGUCCACGGAACAAACUUGGCCACGACUUGUUUUGGAGAAGAAACCAAAGGCUGAUAUUGUGGAAAUUAUGUAACAUUUAAAUCUCAUUGUCCAAAAAUAAAGUUUUACUGGAACAUAGUAA
Molecule: non-coding RNA, 261 nt
Organism: Ictidomys tridecemlineatus (thirteen-lined ground squirrel)
Lineage: Eukaryota; Metazoa; Chordata; Mammalia; Rodentia; Sciuridae
Source: RefSeq, a predicted model, not a curated record